CAGUAGCCGCGGUAAUACGAAGGGUGCAAGCGUUAAUCGGAAUUACUGGGCGUAAAGCGUGCGUAGGCGGUUUGUUAAGUCUGUUGUGAAAUCCCCGGGCUCAACCUGGGAACUGCAUCUGUGACUGCAUAGCUAGAGUACGGUAGAGGGGGAUGGAAUUCCGCGUGUAGCAGUGAAAUGCGUAGAUAUGCGGAGGAACACCGAUGGCGAAGGCGGAUCUCUGGGCCAUUACUGACGCUGAGGAGCGAAAGCGUGGGGAGCGAACAGGAUUAGAUACCCCAGUAGUCCCUGUCUCUUAUAC
Molecule: ribosomal RNA, 301 nt
Filed under: uncultured bacterium
Lineage: Bacteria
Description: partial 16S ribosomal RNA
Rfam family: Bacterial small subunit ribosomal RNA
Source: RNAcentral